GAGAUGGAGUCUUGCUCUGUCACCAGGCUGGAGUGCAGUGGCGUGAUCUCAGCUCACUGCAACCUCUGCCUCCUGGGGUCAAGCGAUUCUCCUGCCUCAGCCACCCGAGUAGCUGAGAUUACAGGCACGCACCACCAUGCCCAGCUAAUUUUUGUAUUUUUAGUAGAGACAGGGUUUCACCUUGUUGGCUAGGAUGGUCUUGAUCUCUUGACCUCAUGAUUCGCCUGCCUCGGCCUCCCAAAGUGCUGGGAUUACAGGCGUGAGCCACCGCGCCCGGCCCAAUGUUAUUUAAUUCUUACUUUUAUUGGGCCAAGACACAAAAGGGACGCUGAGACUCUGAAGAGAAGGAAUCCCUGUGUGUGCUGAAAAACUAUUCCCUUUGCUAGGCUACACCAAUUUUGACAUUUUAUUGGGCUAAACAAAAGACAAGAAAAAUGCACACAAGAAAAAUGCUAGUAAAAACUUCUUUUACUAGCUUGUAUAGUUGCAUCUGCUUUCUUUUCUUCUUUUUUUUUUUUGAGACAGAGUUUCACUUUUGUUGCCCAGGCUGGAGUAUAAUGGCACGAUCUUGGCUCACCGCAACCUCCGCCUCCCGGGUUCAAGAGAUUCUCCUGCCUCAGCCUCCCCAGAAGCUAGGAUUACAGGCAUGCGCCACCACGCCCGGCUAAUUUUGUAUUUUUAGUAGAGAACGGGGUUUCUCCAUGUUGGUCAGGCUGGUCUCGGAUUCCCAACCUCAGAUGAUCCUCCCGCCUCGGCCUCCCAAAGUGCUGGGAUUAUAGGCGUGAACCACUGUGCCCGGCCGCAUCUGCUUUCUAAUGUAAGAGACUGAUCUAAUAGUCUAGAACCUGACAACUCUUAUGGUAUCAUGGAUUUUGUUUAUAUGCUUUAUGAAGGUCACUGCACUGUGGCAACAGUCCAACACUACUGUACCAGCUCCCUCUGACACGUUCCCCUCCAAACUCACGCAGUGGCCAGCUCACUCAGGGCCUCCUGAUAGCGUAGGUACUCAUUCUGGCCAAAGACCUUAGGAAAGAGAAAGGAAGAGUGAGGAUCUCUCAGUCUGAGGGAUCUCUUUAGUGCCCCGAAGAAAAAACUGGCUUACCCCUGUCCCAUAGCGGGCUGUUUCAUAGCCAUCCAAAAGGGUAUCAAUGAGUGCUUUGCGUACACCCUUGAAAGGCGUACUAGUGUUUCGCAGAUCCAGCAGGUAGGAGCGGAAAUUCUUGCCCAUUAAGGAACGGGGAUGCCGGCCUUCAGAAUGAAAUGGGAUCUCUGUGGAGAAAACAGCACAAUGAUAUCUCUUCUCAUUCUUUAGUCUUUUUUUUUUUAGAGGGAGAUUCUGAUUGAGACCAAAGGUAUAAAGCUGUGCCUGAGUGGUCAUUUGGUGGUAACACCACAGUUGUAAGCUACAUCUAUGACACAUGAUAGUGUCAUCACACAUUUUACCAUCCUGCUUACUCAUCCAUCCUAGGUUUAAGAUAUAAACUGUUUUCAUAGAGAUAAAGCAUAUAUGACAAGUGUUGACAGAAUGGAAAAAAUUCAAGAACAAUCUAUCUUGGGCUUAGUGAAAAAGCAGGUGCCACCUGUCCUUUGUGGAAAAACAAGCAAAUUACUAUCAUCUACUUCAUGAAACUAAAGGUCUCAAGAGAAGAACUUUAAAAAACAAAACACCCAGACUCUUUGGAGAAUAACCUGCUUAUAUCAUUUCCUUCAGCAAAAUCUCUAAUCUAGUACUUUCAAAACUCUAGAAUUUCCUACUAGCCAGGGAUGUGCAGAAAGGACAAAUCCUAACAUACAAAGUGGGUUCAUUACUCUGUUCCCUAGGUGGGCUUUCAGGAUCCUAGAAUGGACCCUGUCAGGUAGCCCUUACCAGAGGUACGAAU
This 1880-nucleotide long non-coding RNA is filed under the name Homo sapiens (human). RNAcentral's name for it is "HSALNT0015504". The record is from RNAcentral. Lineage: Eukaryota; Metazoa; Chordata; Mammalia; Primates; Hominidae.